This 253-nucleotide ribosomal RNA is filed under the name uncultured Eubacteriales bacterium. Its description in RNAcentral is "uncultured Clostridiales bacterium partial 16S ribosomal RNA". It matches the Rfam family "Bacterial small subunit ribosomal RNA", at positions 524 to 776 of the family's 1533-position model. Lineage: Bacteria; Bacillati; Bacillota; Clostridia; Eubacteriales. The record is from RNAcentral.
UACGUAGGAGGCAAGCGUUAUCCGGAAUGACUGGGCGUAAAGGGUGCGUAGGUGGUUUGACAAGUUGGUAGCGUAACUCCGAGGCUUAACCUCGGCACUACUACCAAAACUGGUAAGCUGGAGUGCAGGAGAGGUGAGUGGAAUUCCUAGUGUAGCGGUGGAAUGCGUAGAUAUUAGGAGGAACACCAGAGGCGAAGGCGACUCACUGGACUGUAACUGACGCUGAGGCUCGAAAGCGUGGGGAGCAAACAGG